CCUACGGGAGGCAGCAGUGAGGAAUAUUGGUCAAUGGGCGCGAGCCUGAACCAGCCAAGUCGCGUGAGGGAUGACGGUCCUACGGAUUGUAAACCUCUUUUGUCGGGGAGUAAGCGUGCGUUCGUGUACGCACGUCGAGAGUACCCGGAGAAAACGCAUGGGCUAACCCCGUGCCAGAGGCCGCGGUAAUACGGAGGAUGCGAGCGUUAUCCGGUUUUAUUGGGUUAAAAGGGUGCGUGGGCGGGAUUCCAAGUCAGCGGUAAAAAUGCGGUGCUCAACGCCGUCGAGCCGUUGAAACUGGCGUUCUUGAGUGGGCGAGAAGUAUGCGGAAUGCGUGGUGUAGCGGUGAAAUGCAUAGAUAUCACGCAGAACUCCGAUUGCGAAGGCAGCAUACCGGCGCCCUACUGACGCUGAGGCACGAAAGCGUGGGUAUCGAACAGGAUUAGAUACCCUAGUAGUC
This 460-nucleotide ribosomal RNA is filed under the name uncultured bacterium. Its description in RNAcentral is "partial 16S ribosomal RNA". It matches the Rfam family "Bacterial small subunit ribosomal RNA", at positions 338 to 795 of the family's 1533-position model. The record is from RNAcentral.